GUUCCACACCUUCUUCGUUAAAUAAAAAGGUUACAUCAUCUGGUAUGUCGAAAAGACCUGAUAAAAUAUCAAAUUUGAUGAAGCAGUUGGAAGUUUGCACAUUCAAGACAGCUUUUUAGUGUAUAUCAGGACUCGUCUAAAUUCUACUAGACUUGUAAUUUAUUCAUUUCUUUGUGAUUUAAAUUUUUCAUCGAAUGCAAAUUCACAGAAAAGUGGAGCUAGCUAUCAGUCCAUUCCACUGAACAAUUCAUAUUUUCUAAGAACUUUCUACUUUGAUUCAA
Lolium perenne is the source of this 281-nucleotide long non-coding RNA. RefSeq lists it as uncharacterized. Lineage: Eukaryota; Viridiplantae; Streptophyta; Magnoliopsida; Poales; Poaceae. The record is from RefSeq and is a predicted model, not a curated record.